AACUUUUGGCAAUGGAUCACUUGGCUCUCGCAUCGAUGAAGAACGCAGCGAAAUGCGAUACGUAAUGUGAAUUGCAGAAUCCAGUGAAUCAUCGAAUCUUUGAAAGCACCUUGCGCCCCUUGGCAUUCCGAGGGGGACACCCGUUUGAGUGGCGUUAAAUUCUCAAAAACCUGUCUUUGGAAGGGAUUUUGGACUUGGAGGCCUUUUGCUGGUUUCACCUUGAAGCGAACUCCUCCCAAUUGGAGUAGUGGGGUCCGCUUUGCCGAUCCUGGACGUGAUCAGAUGUCUCUACGUCUUGGGUUUGGGACUGUCACUCGGCCACCCGCUUCUAACCGUCUCGUCGACAACGAUCGCGUUCCGGUCACCACCGUUUCAUCGGUGGGAGGCUUGACCGACCAAAAAACCUUGACCGCAAAUCGGGUGGGACUACCCGCUGAACUUAAGCAUAUCAAUAAGCGGAGGCU
This 464-nucleotide unclassified non-coding RNA is filed under the name uncultured Russula. RNAcentral's name for it is "sequence contains ITS2". The stretch from base 1 to 154 matches the Rfam family "5.8S ribosomal RNA". Lineage: Eukaryota; Fungi; Basidiomycota; Agaricomycetes; Russulales; Russulaceae. The record is from RNAcentral.